This 466-nucleotide ribosomal RNA is filed under the name uncultured bacterium. RNAcentral's name for it is "bacterial SSU rRNA". It matches the Rfam family "Bacterial small subunit ribosomal RNA", at positions 329 to 793 of the family's 1533-position model. The record is from RNAcentral.
GUCCAGACUCCUACGGGAGGCAGCAGUGAGGAAUAUUGGUCAAUGGUCGGGAGACUGAACCAGCCAAGCCGCGUGAGGGAGGAAGGUACAGAGUAUCGUAAACCUCUUUUGUCAGGGAACAAAGGCGGGGACGUGUCCCCGGAUGAGUGUACCUGAAGAAAAGGCAUCGGCUAACUCCGUGCCAGCAGCCGCGGUAAUACGGAGGAUGCGAGCGUUAUCCGGAUUUAUUGGGUUUAAAGGGGGCGCAGGCGGUCUGUUAAGCCGGCGUCCGCCCCCCGGCCCCCACCCCCGGCCCGCCGUUGAAACUGGCAGUCUCGAGUUGGAGAGAAGUAUGCGGAAUGCGCGGUGUAGCGGUGAAAUGCAUAGAUAUCGCGCAGAACUCCGAUUGCGAAGGCAGCAUGCCGGCUCCACACUGACGCUGAGGCACGAAAGCGUGGGUAUCGAACAGGAUUAGAUACCCCCGUAC